AAAACACAAUCUCAUCAAAUGUUAGAAAAUAAAUCAUCAAAUAAUCUAGAAAUUUCAAAUCUUCUAGGGUUGAUUCCUCUUACCUACAAUAGCUUUGCUUGCACAAGAAGCUGUAUAGCAGGCCUGCAUAUCAAGGUCAAAUAAUAAAGCAGCACACAUCACUAACAUGUUUUGGUAACUUGAUUCAUUAGCUUAACAUGAAUAAUUGAACAUAAGGACUCAUUCUAUAUACUAAACGAUUAAAUGCAUGCUUUGGGUUUGUAUAACAUCUAAGCUGAAAGACAUACCGAGAAAGAUUGUUUCUGGAAAAUAUGUAAGCUGCAUUUACAGAUGAUGCAGUACCAAUUUUAUAAGAACCUGAAAUGGAUGAACACGUGGACUUUCCAAUUAGAAGCAGACAAUGUAGGAAAAGCUAAGUAGGAAUUAAUCCUUAAAGGAAGAAAACAAUAUAUAUCAUUCAGCCUAUCAGUUGCAUCUGAACUAUACAGAAAAUGACUAAACAACGGAGGGGGAAAUUAAAAGUUAAAGUUUCGUAGCUUGAAUUUUGUCACCCUAAAAUAAGUGUGUUUAGGAUAUGAAGUUCAAAAUAAAAGCAUCAAACCAUAUACCACAUUUCAGAAAAUGCAAAUUAAAUGGUGACUACCAUACUUGAUGAUCUAUAACUCUCGCACUUCUGGUGCAGAAUCCUCCUUCUGUGGCCAAUGCAUGUCCAUAGCAGCAGUUAUAAGAUCUAAUUUCUCAACCUGCAGCACACUACAACAAAUCACAAAUAGCGGUAGAAAUUUGAAUGUACGAACAAUAGAUCUGGUACAAGUGUAUGCACCCACACCCAAACAAAAAUUGCAGUGCAUACUGGAAUUCCAUAGUGAGGCCUCUUCCAGAACUUCCAAAAAUAAUCCAACAA
RNAcentral lists this long non-coding RNA (904 nucleotides) under Trifolium pratense (red clover). RNAcentral describes it as "long non-coding RNA (TPRA_LNC007517)". The record is from RNAcentral. Lineage: Eukaryota; Viridiplantae; Streptophyta; Magnoliopsida; Fabales; Fabaceae.